Molecule: microRNA precursor, 61 nt
Filed under: Ornithorhynchus anatinus (platypus)
Lineage: Eukaryota; Metazoa; Chordata; Mammalia; Monotremata; Ornithorhynchidae
Description: Oan-Mir-34-P3b_pre stem-loop
Source: RNAcentral
AGGCAGUGUGAUGUUUGCUGGCUGCUUUGAAUCGAUUCAGCAGCCACCGUUACUCUGCCAC